CAGGGCGUCUAAACAUUUUAAUUGUAUUAAUUUAUGAUAUUUGAAUAGAAAGUCCUUUCCCAUGUUUAACAGGCAAACAUUUCAAGACCUAAAAUUACAGUGUCCACCUGUGUUUUUCUUUUUACACAUGUCAAACUAAGGAUGAUUUACAUAGUGUUAUAAAACCAAUAAAGACCUUGAUCUUUCAAUUUACUCUACAAAGUAGCCUCUAAUUUACCGAUUUAAAAUUCAUAAUGAUUUAUUCAAACUGUAUACUUAAUAAAUUGGUUAAAUGAAGUUCAAUUCCGCUGAUUAUAAUAAUGUAAACAUCAGACUAUAUCUUAUAUACAUAUAAACAUCGUAACAGUCAUUAUAGCUGGACAAUGGUCAGUUUAUGGUCAGAUGGCCAGGUAGAAAGAAUUGUCAACAAAGGUUGAAGAUGUUAUAAUGAAGUGUCCCUAGCUUGCCCCAGGGUUUGACGACACAUUGUCCGUUUCUGAUAACUGUAUCAUCUGUAAACUCCCUAAGAUAAUGUCCAAUAAGUACAAAUUUUAUCAUAUUAAUCUCAUGGAUAGUGUCAUUUUCUUUACCUCUGAUCAUAUACUGGACAAUAAAAUCAAUUGGGAAGAUUUAAAAAAAUUAUUAUCAUGAUUAUGAUACUGGAUCUUAAAAUUUUCCUAAUAAUUUUU
RNAcentral lists this long non-coding RNA (668 nucleotides) under Mytilus galloprovincialis (Mediterranean mussel). The record is from RNAcentral. Lineage: Eukaryota; Metazoa; Mollusca; Bivalvia; Mytilida; Mytilidae.